RNAcentral lists this ribosomal RNA (479 nucleotides) under uncultured bacterium. Its description in RNAcentral is "partial 16S ribosomal RNA". It matches the Rfam family "Bacterial small subunit ribosomal RNA", at positions 28 to 507 of the family's 1533-position model. The record is from RNAcentral.
GAUGAACGCUGGCGGCGUGUUUAACACAUGCAAGUCGAGCGAGAAGUUUUGAAAAGAUUCUUCGGAUGAAAUUUAAAAUGGAAAGCGGCGGACGGGUGAGUAACGCGUAGGCAACCUGCCCCAUACAAAGGGAUAGCAUUUGGAAACGAAUAUUAAUACCUUAUGAAACUUAACUAGUGCAUGCUAGGUAGGUCAAAGAUUUAUCGGUAUGGGAUGGGCCUGCGUCUGACUAGCUAGUUGGUGAGGUAACGGCUCACCAAGGCGACGAUCAGUAGCCGACCUGAGAGGGUGAACGGCCACAUUGGAACUGAGACACGGUCCAAACUCCUACGGGAGGCAGCAGUGGGGAAUAUUGCACAAUGGGGGAAACCCUGAUGCAGCAACGCCGCGUGAACGAUGAAGGCCUUUGGGUCGUAAAGUUCUGUUCUAGGUGAUGAAAACUGACAGUAACCUAGGAGAAAGCCCCGGCUAACUCCGUG